AUUCUGCUGCCUCCCGGGUCUUCAGCAUGAACGUGUCCCCUUCCUGUCCAUCUCUCCUUUGGCCCCCUUCCUCAGGACCUCUCACUGGUUGACUCCCUUCCUUGACCAUCCAUCAGGAGGGCUUCUCUCUGAUGACCGCUCUCCCUACACCCUCUCUAAGUGACGCCAGCAGCUUCCCUGGUCUCACUGAUGUGGAUGCUGUGGAUGCCAGGAUUCGCUCAGUCAUGUCUGACUCUUCGUGACCCCAUGGACUGUAGCCCACCAGACUCCUCUGUCCAUGGGAUUCUCCGGGUGAAUUCUUCAGCACUGAACCACCUGGGAAGCCCCCAUUGUCUUCAUGUAAGUUAGCAAUCUGCAGUGAUGCUGGCUCCAGUGAC
Dama dama (fallow deer) is the source of this 377-nucleotide long non-coding RNA. RefSeq lists it as uncharacterized. The record is from RefSeq and is a predicted model, not a curated record. NCBI's taxonomy places the organism in Eukaryota, Metazoa, Chordata, Mammalia, Artiodactyla, Cervidae. The transcript is spliced from 3 exons.